GACGUAGGGGGCAAGCGUUGUUCGGAAUUAUUGGGCGUAAAGAGCUCGUAGGCGGCUUGUCACGUCGGGUGUGAAAGCCCGGGGCUUAACCCCGGGUCUGCAUUCGAUACGGGCUGGCUGGAGUGUGGUAGGGGAGAUCGGAAUUCCUGGUGUAGCGGUGAAAUGCGCAGAUAUCAGGAGGAACACCGGUGGCGAAGGCGGCUCUCUGGGACGGUACUGACGCUGAGACGCGAAAGCGUGGGGAGCGAACAGG
Molecule: ribosomal RNA, 253 nt
Filed under: uncultured bacterium
Lineage: Bacteria
Description: partial 16S ribosomal RNA
Rfam family: Bacterial small subunit ribosomal RNA
Source: RNAcentral